Molecule: non-coding RNA, 608 nt
Organism: Heterocephalus glaber (naked mole-rat)
Lineage: Eukaryota; Metazoa; Chordata; Mammalia; Rodentia; Bathyergidae
Source: RefSeq, a predicted model, not a curated record
GGGAGCCUCCUCCAGUCAGCUGUGCGUCUCCAAGCUUCCUAUUUAUUUAUGGCACUGUCGUGAGGCAGCAGACUCGGAAAGAGGAAGUGAAGCCUGUUUCUACACACAUGCCCUUUCACAAGCAUUGCUCAGCUUCUCAGAAUUGUGGACAUAACAUCGCUUGCUGACAGCACCAGAUGCAAGUUUUCCUUGGGGGCACGGAGCAGAUUGGUGUGGCCACCUUCGUACCUCCAGUGAGGGAUCACAGGCUGACAGCCCAGCCAAGCUCCUGACCGCUGUGGUGCCCUGUCUUCAGGCCACCUGGGGGCACCUGGACCCCAGGGCUCCUGUGGGGCCAGAAGUCACCGGCAGGGUGGCUGGAAGAUGGAAUUUGGGAACUCAACAAUGCUCAACUUUUAAAAAAUAAAAACCAGCGAGCAAGCAGUCACAUCAGCUAAAACACAAUGGAACAAGAAAAGCUUCGUUAUAUUCUCUGGGGGCCUUUGGUGGGGCCAUGAGGUGUGCUCACCCAAAAGUGGUCCCGACAGGAGCUUUGACUGUCAUGGAGCCUGGUUCCUUUCUGCCUAGGACUUACAUUUUUCUUAUAUAAUUAAAAAUAUUUUCCACCA